GACCAAUUACGAUCGAUUCGCUA
Molecule: small RNA, 23 nt
Filed under: Arabidopsis thaliana (thale cress)
Lineage: Eukaryota; Viridiplantae; Streptophyta; Magnoliopsida; Brassicales; Brassicaceae
Source: RNAcentral